RNAcentral lists this ribosomal RNA (443 nucleotides) under uncultured Trichococcus sp. RNAcentral describes it as "bacterial SSU rRNA". It matches the Rfam family "Bacterial small subunit ribosomal RNA", at positions 97 to 524 of the family's 1533-position model. The record is from RNAcentral. Lineage: Bacteria; Bacillati; Bacillota; Bacilli; Lactobacillales; Carnobacteriaceae.
GGCGGACGGGUGAGAAACACGUGGGUAACCUGCCCAUAAGAGGGGGAUAACAUCCGGAAACGGGUGCUAAUACCGCAUAGUUUUCUUGAUCGCAUGAUCGGGAAAGGAAAGACGGCCUUUGUGCUGUCGCUUAUGGAUGGACCCGCGGCGUAUUAGUUAGUUGGUGAGGUAACGGCUCACCAAGACGAUGAUACGUAGCCGACCUGAGAGGGUGAUCGGCCACAUUGGGACUGAGACACGGCCCAAACUCCUACGGGAGGCAGCAGUAGGGAAUCUUCCGCAAUGGACGAAAGUCUGACGGAGCAACGCCGCGUGAGUGAAGAAGGUUUUCGGAUCGUAAAACUCUGUUGUCAGAGAAGAACAAGUUGGAGAGUAACUGCUCCAGCCUUGACGGUAUCUGACCAGAAAGCCACGGCUAACUACGUGCCAGCAGCCGCGGUAAU